CCUACGGGAGGCAGCAGUGAGGAAUAUUGGUCAAUGGCCGGAAGGCUGAACCAGCCAUGCCGCGUGAAGGUCAGUGCCCUAUGGGCGUUAAACUUCUUUUGUGCGGGAGCAAUAAUGGUCACGUGUGGCCAGACGAGAGUACCGUACGAAUAAGCAUCGGCUCACUCCGUGCCAGCAGCCGCGGUAAUACGGGGGAUGCAAGCGUUAUCCGGAAUUAUUGGGUUUAAAGGGUGCGUAGGCUGUGAGGUAAGUCAGCGGUGAAAUGCCCCCGCUCAACGGGGUGAAGUGCCAUUGAUACUGCCUGGCUGGAAUGCGGAUGCCGUGGGAGGAAUGUGUGGUGUAGCGGUGAAAUGCAUAGAUAUCACACAGAACACCGAUUGCGAAGGCAUCUCACGAAUCCGCGAUUGACGCUGAUGCACGAAAGCGUGGGUAUCAAACAGGAUUAGAUACCCUGGUAGUC
Molecule: ribosomal RNA, 460 nt
Filed under: uncultured bacterium
Lineage: Bacteria
Description: partial 16S ribosomal RNA
Rfam family: Bacterial small subunit ribosomal RNA
Source: RNAcentral